AUGAACAUAAUGAGAAGAGAAAACCCUGGAAUCCCUGAUGAUUAUUAUGUUUCUAGCUUUGUGGCAGGGCUUAACCCAUAUAUUAAAAGUCAUGUGGAGUGCUUCACGCCUAAGGAUAUGCAGACUACAGUGUGGUAUGCUAGGAGGAUGGAGAAAGCCCAGGUUCUAGCUACUGUAGUGCAAACUAAACCUUAUGUCCCUCAACCUAGAAGGCAAGUAGUAUUUGAUCAGCCCAAAACCCCUGUAACUACUGUCACACCAAACAGAAACACUAUUAUUCAGCAGGCAAAACAAAACCAAGUGUGUUAUAAGUGCAGAGAGCCUUGGGUGCCUGGUCAUAGACAGGUCUGUAAAAUGAGCCAGAGAGCUCAGAUCCAAGCACUACAAGUUGAGGAAGUUGAAAAUCCUGAGACAAUCUAUGUUACAUAUUUUGAUGACCCUGAUUUGGAAACACUAGAACAACCAUCUGGUGAAGCAGUAUUGAAAGUGUCAAUGCAUGCUGCUAUGGGAAUAGGAGCAACCAAAAAUACUUUUAUAUUGUCCGUAAAGAUAGGCAAUAUAGUUGCCACAGCACUGGUGGACAGUGGUAGUACUUCUACCUUCAUCUCUCCUGAAGUGGCAAGUAAAUUACCUGUCAGUACAAGCCCUACACCCAAGAUAAAGGUAGUGGUUGCUAGUGGGGGAGUGCUAUGGACUGAAUUUCAAGCAAAGGACUGCCCUUAUGAAAUUCAAGGCCAUCUCUUUACUGACAGUUUCAGAGUGCUUAAACUGAAAGGAUAUGACAUGAUUUUGGGAGUUGAUUGGCUCAGAAAAUAUAGCCCAAUACAAAUGGACUUUAUUAAAAUGGAAAUGACAAUUUCUGACAGCUCUGGACAGUUUAUUACAUUUGUGGAUGAGACUGUUCCCCUAGCCCCUGUAGCUGAAGCCAAGGACAACACUGAAAAACUGUUAGAACAAGCUGUUUGUGGGUUUUUCUUGUUCACAACCUCUGGUACUGAAUUUACAGCUGCUAGUUCAGAAAUUCCUACUGAAUUGCAGCCACUGCUGGACCAGUAUGACCAGCUGUUUCAGGAGCCAACUGAAUUGCCUUCUAGCAGGCCUUGUGAUCACAGAAUCCCACUAGUGGAAGGAGCAAAAGUAGUUAACCAGAGGCCUUAUAGAAUUCCUCACCAUCAGAAAGAAAUUUUGGAUAAAAUCAUCAAAGAGCUACUGAAAAAUGAGAUAAUCAGACCUAGCACAAGCCCAUUUUCCUCUCCUGUGCUACUGGUCAAGAAAAAAGAUGGAUCUUGGAGGUUAUGCACUGAUUACAGAAAAUUGAAUGUUAUAACUAUCAAGAAUAAAUAUCCCAUUCCUGUAAUUGAGGACCUUUUGGAUCAACUGAAAGGAGCAAAGAUUUUUUCCAAAAUUGACCUAAGAAAUGGAUAUCACCAAAUCCGAAUGGCAGAAGAGGAUAUUCCAAAAACUGCAUUUACUACUCACAUGGGACUGUUUGAAUUUUUAGUUAUGUCCUUUGGACUAACUAAUGGUCCUCCCUCCUUCCAGGCAUUAAUGAAUUUACUGUUUGGCCAUCUUAAGUUUGUAGUGGUUUUCUUUGAUGAUAUAUUGGUGUUCAGUUUUUCAUUAGAGGAACACAAGGACCAGUUGAAGCAGAUGUUUGAUAUAUUACAAGCAAACAAGCUAUAUGCAAAAAUGGAAAAUUGCUCUUUUGGUCAGCAAGAGAUUGAGUAUUUGGGUCAUGUGAUUAACUCUGAGGGAGUUUCUACUGACCCAUCUAAGAUUCAGUCCAUUAGAGAUUGGCCAACUCCUAAAAUUGUCACUGAACUGAGAAGUUUUUUGGGGCUAAGUGGAUAUUACAGAAGGUUUAUCCAGGGAUAUGGAGUAAUUUGUAGACCACUAUUUGACUGCUUGAAGAAGGAUGGUUUUUCUUGGAAAAAAGAGCAACAAGAAGCAUUUGUGACCUUGAAAAACAAGCUUACCAGCACCCCUGUGUUAGCACUGCCUGAUUUCUCCAAACCUUUUAUUUUGGAAACUGAUGCUUGUGGGUAUGGACAAGGAGUUGUGUUGAUGCAAGAGGGAAAGCCUAUUUCUUACUUCAGCAAGAGCAUUGGCCCCAAAGCAGCUGCAAUGAGCACUUAUGACAAGGAAGCCUUGACCAUAAUUGAAGCUGUUAAGCAAUGGAAGCACUAUUUCUUAGCAACAUCCUUAGUGAUCAGAACUGAUCAGGAAAGUCUGAAAUAUAUUCAGGAACAAAAAAUUACAGAAGGAAUUCAACAUAAACUGUUGCUGAAGUUGCUAGGAUAUAAUUUUACAAUUGAGUACAAGAAAAGCAAGGAGAACAGGGUGGCUGAUGCAUUAUCUAGAGUGAAACAUGUGAUUCAUGCUUUAACUGCAACUGCCGCUUCUCCUACUUGGGUCAAGCAGGUCACAGCAAGCUACCAUCAAGAUAGUAAGAUCAACGAGCUCAUUGUUGAAUGUGUUGUGGGCAAAUCUGAUACCUUUGCUUACUCCUUCAAAAAUGGCAUAUUGAGAUUUCAUAACAAGAUUGUAGUGGGAUCUGCUUCUACUCUGAGACAAGAAAUCCUCCAAACAUUCCAUAAUUCAGAGUUGGGAGGUCAUUCUGGUGAGAGGGCUACAUACCAGAGAGUGAAGUUAAUUUUUCACUGGCAGGGUUUAAAACAAGAUGUAGUGCAGUUUGUCAAGCAAUGCCCUAUUUGUCAGUUGAACAAAACUGAGCACACUCCUUACCCUGGAUUAUUAGAACCACUUCUUGUGCCUGAUUUUGCCUGGGCACAUGUGAGCAUGGAUUUUGUGGAAGGGUUGCCUAAUUCUGAACACAAGAACUUGAUUUUGGUGGUGGUUGACAGAUUCACCAAGUACUCUCAUUUCAUUGCUAUGAGACAUCCAAUUACAGUACAAUCUGUUGCAAGAGCAUUUGCUGAUAAUGUGUUCAGGUUGCAUGGGAUGUCCCUAGUAAUUGUCACUGACAGAGACAGAAUUUUUACUAGUCAUCUUUGGCAGCAACUGUUCAAGUCCUUGAAAAUCAAGUUGCAUUUGAGCACCAGCUACCACCCUCAAACUGAUGGUCAAACUGAAAGGGUUAACCAGUGUUUGGAGAAUUACUUAAGAUGCAUGUGUUUCCAACAACCCAGGAAGUGGCAUGGGUGGCUAUCCCUAGCUGAGUGGUGGUACAACACCUCCUUCCACACAUCACUCAAAAUGACACCCUUUCAGGCCCUGUAUGGUUUUCCUCCCCCUAUGAUUGCUGAAUCUGCCUUGCCUGAUGCAAUUUUUGAGGACAAUGAGGAUCUAUUGCAUAAUAGAGAAGUGGCACUGGAAGUGAUCAAGCAUAAUUUGCUGAAAGCUCAAUCUAGAAUGAAGUUUUUUGCAGAUAAAAAGAGGAAAGAAAGAGAAUUUGUAGUGGGGGACAUGGUCUAUUUGAAGUUGCAACCCUACAGACAUACUUCUCUCAGCCUGCAUAGGCACAUGAAGCUGCACUCUAAAUUGUAUGGCCCAUUCAGAAUAAUGGAAAGAAUUGGAAAUCAUGCUUAUAAAUUACUGCUACCAGAGGGUUGUCAGCUGCAUGACACAUUUCAUGUCAGCCAACUUAAGAAGCACAUUGGACCAACAGUCAUCCCUUCCCCUAUGCUACCACUAGUUGGUCCUGAUGGAAUCAUCAAAGUGGAGCCUGAAGCUGUGCUGGAAAGAGCUCUGGUUCCAAGGAAGCAAGGAAACAUCAGUAUUCCUGUCGUUUGGUGGCUGGUCAAAUGGACCAAUAUGCCUAUGGAAGAAGCUACUUGA
This 3798-nucleotide ribosomal RNA is filed under the name Triticum aestivum (bread wheat). Its description in RNAcentral is "partial small subunit ribosomal RNA". Lineage: Eukaryota; Viridiplantae; Streptophyta; Magnoliopsida; Poales; Poaceae. The record is from RNAcentral.